This 497-nucleotide ribosomal RNA is filed under the name uncultured bacterium. Its description in RNAcentral is "partial 16S ribosomal RNA". It matches the Rfam family "Bacterial small subunit ribosomal RNA", at positions 28 to 507 of the family's 1533-position model. The record is from RNAcentral.
GACGAACGCUGGCGGCGUGCCUAAUACAUGCAAGUUGAGCGCUGAAUGUUGGUACUUGUACCAACUGGAUGAGCAGCGAACGGUUGAGUAACGCGUGGGGAAUCUUCCUUUGAGCGGGGGACAGCAUUUGGAAACGAAUGCUAAUACCGCAUAAAAACUUUAAACACAAGUUUUAAGUUUGAAAGAUGCAAUUGCAUCACUCAAAGAUGAUCCCGCGUUGUAUUAGCUAGUUGGUGAGGUAAAGGCUCACCAAGGCGAUGAUACAUAGCCGACCUGAGAGGGUGAUCGGCCACAUUGGGACUGAGACACGGCCCAAACUCCUACGGGAGGCAGCAGUAGGGAAUCUUCGGCAAUGGACGAAAGUCUGACCGAGCAACGCCGCGUGAGUGAAGAAGGUUUUCGGAUCGUAAAACUCUGUUGGUAGAGAAGAACGUUGGUGAGAGUGGAAAGCUCAUCAAGUGACGGUAACUAACCAGAAAGGGACGGCUAACUACGUG